UUUAACUAUAUGUUGUGGCUAUGCAAAUAGGGCUGUGUGAUCCCCCCUCCCUGCCAGCGCCUCCUACCCUGUGUGUGUGUUGUAACUAUAUGUUGUGGCUAUGCAUAUAGGGCUGUGUGAUCCCCGGUCCCUGCCAGCGCCUCCUACCCUGUGUGUGUGUGUGUUUUAACUAUAUGUUGUGGCUAUGCGUAUAGGGCUGUGUGAUCCCCGGUCCCUGCCAGCGCCUCCUACCCUGUGUGUGUGUGUGUUUUAACUAUAUGUUGUGGCUAUGCAAAUAGGGCUGUGUGAUCCCCCCUCCCUGCCAGCGCCUCCUACCCUGUGUGUGUGUUUUAACUAUAUGUUGUGGCUAUGCAUAUAGGGCUGUGUGAUCCCCGCUCCCUGCCAGCGCCUCCUACCCUGUGUGUGUGUGUGUGUGUUUUAACUAUAUGUUGUGGCUAUGCAAAUAGGGCUGUGUGAUCCCCGCUCCCUGCCAGCGCCUCCUACCCUGUGUGUGUGUGUGUUUUAACUAUAUGUUGUGGUUAUGCAAAUAGGGCUGUGUGAUCCCCACUCCCUGCCAGCGCCUCCUACCCUGUGUGUGUGUUUUAACUAUAUGUUGUGGCUAUGCAAAUAGGGUUGUGUGAUCCCCACUCCCUGGUUGGACCGUGACAGCAGAGGCGUGGCUGCGACCAGGAGUCCAGUGAUUGGUGCGGCGAUCCCCAGGCCGACCAACCGAAAACUGUCAACUCCUUUAAAAGAGUUGUCAGUUCAACUGAACGAGGCAGCUGACUUCCAGCGUGCCAUUCGGUGUUCCUGUGUGGUGGAGGCAAGAUUGUCUGUGUGAUAGGAAUUGGGCGAGGGUUAGACUCAAAAACUGAUGCAGCCUCAUUUCAUUACAGGUAGUUCCUUUUGUCUAGGUUUCACCAGGAUUAGGGGUGCUGACUCCUGUGUAAGUUUUGUUUUGUCAGUUCCCAUUUAGUGAGCCUUUUUGUUCCGUUUUUCUUUUGUUCACCGCGAUGGUAGUGUUAAGUUCUCCUUAUGAGAACUCUUUUUGUGUUUUGCUAUGUUCUUUGAUUUGAGCAGCACCCACCAGCCCUCUUCCUUAGUUUUGCCUCAGUUUGUAUAGUAACGUGCACAUUUCUGUUCAACCUUUUCUGUAAUAAAUAAUUUGAUUUUACCAUCAACAACUGUUUAUGUUGCUUCCCUUCCCCCCCGAGCCGGGGUUGUAACAGUAAAAGAGUCACAGAUUUGGUGUUGUAAAUUUAUGAGGGAUUGUAAAUGUAUUACACGCGAGUUGUUUUUUUUUUUUGUUGUUUUUUUUUGUCAUUUUCACUUGUAAUUAGACAGAAAAAAAACAAUAUUUGUAGAGCAAAAGGUAGAGGUCAAAGAAACCCACAGCAUUUUUAUUUGACAAAGCUAACACAAUACCUGAAGAUAUGAUCAGCUGAGGUUUUAACUGAACAGAAAUAUGGUGAUUUUCUUUCAUCCAAGCCAAUAUUAUUCUAAGAAUUGAUUUAUUUUUUUGUUUUUGUCCAUCUACCACUAAUCUGAACACUUCAGAUCUGUCAAUGUGAGUUAUAAAAUAGAGAUAUACCUAAAACCUGGGCAUGUGUAAAUACUUGAAAUGUGUUAAUUUGGCUCUGAUUUCAAACAAAUGAAGAACCAAAGCAGUUAUAGUCAUUGUUUAAUCUAAGACCAAGAAAAUGUCACUUAUAUCUUGCUCAUUACCAUCUUGUUUAAAUCUUACACUGUGAAAUCAUUCCUAAAGAUCAUUUUAACGUUCUAUUUUUUAAAUGUCGCCGCCAUGUUUUCAAAAUUGCAAUAAUUAUAAAUAUAUAGACCAGGAUAGAUAAUAAUUAGAAGACGUUUUUGACACAGCAGCAAGUAGUUUGUUGGCAACGAGUUUGGGUGAAUGAAGAUGUUUAAACUGUAAUUUGUUAUGCAAUGAUCUGGUGUUCUGCCUGGGCUCGUGGAUCAAUAAUCAGAAGGAUGUUUUGUAAUCUGCUGUCUAUGUGGUACAGUUUUGUAGACAUUUAUGCAAUUGCAAAAGAACAAAAAUGGCAUCAUUUGGCCUGUGCUAGCUAAUGUGGUAUCACAUGGCCCUGUAUGACAAAUUCCAGUUGGAUAUCUUGUGAUUUUAAUCUUUUGACAUGCAUUUUCAUAAUGUCUCAAGUUUUGCACUAAUGUUCAGUUGAAGAUUCACAAAGGCAAUAAUAUGUGAAGAUGCAAAACAUCUUCCUGCAGUAAAUAUUUGAUUUAUUCACAGCCCUGUGCUUCUACUACAGCAUGUAUGUUUGGAUGCAAAUGCGUCUGACUUUAUGUUAACCCAUGGUGACCCACUGACUUCACCUUGUCAUGAGUGGGAUUUUACAUUUCCUAUUCCCCACAAACAGCAUGUUUGCAUGUUUGAUGCUUAAUCCUUGAACUGUCCCAUUCACCAGCUGGUUGAGUGCCAGUCUGAGAUCCAACAGUAACAAUAAGCUGACGCCAGUGGUGACGGUUUUGUAACCUAGACAUGUUUCUGAUGUUAGCACUGUCAUUGAGGAGUGUAAGCAUGUACAGGAUUGUGUAAAGAGUUGUGAUUUUGUGCCCGUACAUGUGCUAGCUGACCCACAUAUAUGCUCUGCCGAAUCUGAAGAGAACAUGUGAUUUAUUUAUUUUUUUAAAUCAAGGUUUUUUUUCCAGUUUAGCUACAAGAAAUAAGGAAACACGGAAAGGAAAUGUUGUGCAUGUUUUAUUAUGGCACCUCAUCCUUUCAUUCGCACGGUUCACAUUCAACGUUCAUUCUCAUCCUCACUUGCAUAACUUCUGCUGCUGUGUUGGUUUAUGUUUCUGGACCACUUGGUCAGCACAGAGCAGAUGCUUGAAUACAGCAGCUAACUUCACAGACAAACAUCUUAGGACUGCCAGAUUUAUAUCUUAUCAUAUAUGCAAAUAUUUAGUUGUAUUUGAAACUAUUCACAUUUUCUUUAACAAAAAUAAAAUUCUCUGUCUGUGCAGCUUUUACUUUUUGAGAGAUUUUAGGCUGUGAAUCACUUCAUGUGGCUGGUGCCAUUUGAUCUAAAGCAGAUCUAGCUAUUUGGUGUCAACCAAAGCAAUGUAACCGACUGUUCCCUUUGUUGACUGUCGUUGACUUCUUGCAUACUGUGAUGUCUUUCUGCAAUAAAUAGCCAGUUAUCUUCCCAGUGCCAGUGAGUGAGGUGGCAGUUCCAGGCUUUUUCAAUACAUUACCAUUCUGUUGCAAAUCUAAAUAUGCUGGAUUGUGAAUUUUGUGACCAAAAGAUUUUUUACGAUUGAUUCUUGUGUAGCUGUACAUUGAAACGAAGCUUAAAACUAAGAUACAUUGUUUAUCACGGUGAGUACAGACACUAUAUAUUUGUGUAUUGGAUAGAUUUUGCACAUUACAUGUCACCAGUUUGUUCCCAGGUUCAGAAACUGUCAAGAAAACACAUUUUUCUGGUUUAUUCAGCCUCUCAAAGAUUGGCAGCAGUUGUCACAUCGAUUCUUGCACAUAGUCAGACAUGGUAUCGUUCUCUACACUCUGUUUUGCCUGCUGAAAACUAUAAAUAAUAUUGUGUGUCAACUGUAUAGACCUUAUUCUAAUGUAUCCUAAUGUAUAUAUACAGUAUGUCUGUAUGGUCACGUGAUUGCACUGUUCAAUGAAUUUCAGUUUGUGAUUAAAUGGGCUUAUUCCCACAUGAUUUGAUUGUAAUGAUUUUUAAUUAAAUGGGGAAC
Molecule: long non-coding RNA, 3711 nt
Organism: Amphiprion ocellaris (clown anemonefish)
Lineage: Eukaryota; Metazoa; Chordata; Actinopteri; Pomacentridae
Source: Ensembl